UACAGAGGUCUCAAGCGUUGUUCGGAUUCAUUGGGCGUAAAGGGUGCGUAGGCGGCGCGGUAAGUCGGGUGUGAAAUCUCGGAGCUUAACUUCGAAACUGCAUUCGAUACUGCCGUGCUUGAGGACUGGAGAGGAGACUGGAAUUUACGGUGUAGCGGUGAAAUGCGUAGAUAUCGUGAGGAAGACCAGUGGCGAAGGCGGAUCUCUGGACAGUUCCUGACGCUGAGGCGCGAAGGCCAGGGGAGCAAACGGG
RNAcentral lists this ribosomal RNA (253 nucleotides) under uncultured bacterium. RNAcentral's name for it is "partial 16S ribosomal RNA". It matches the Rfam family "Bacterial small subunit ribosomal RNA", at positions 524 to 776 of the family's 1533-position model. The record is from RNAcentral.